Molecule: ribosomal RNA, 332 nt
Filed under: uncultured bacterium
Lineage: Bacteria
Description: bacterial SSU rRNA
Rfam family: Bacterial small subunit ribosomal RNA
Source: RNAcentral
UCCGGACUUCGGUUCGGUGAGAGUGGCGGACGGGUGAGUAACGCGUGGGAACCUGCCCAGUGGUGGGGGAUAACUGCGGGAAACUGCAGCUAAUACCGCAUGAGCCCGAGAGGGGAAAGAUUUAUCGCCAUUGGAGGGGCCCGCGUUCGAUUAGGUAGUUGGUGAGGUAAUGGCUCACCAAGCCGACGAUCGAUAGCUGGUCUGAGAGGAUGAUCAGCCACACUGGGACUGAGAUACGGCCCAGACUCCUACGGGAGGCAGCAGUGGGGAAUAUUGGACAAUGGGGGCAACCCUGAUCCAGCAAUGCCGCGUGAGUGAUGAAGGCCUUCGGG